RNAcentral lists this ribosomal RNA (500 nucleotides) under uncultured bacterium. RNAcentral describes it as "partial 16S ribosomal RNA". It matches the Rfam family "Bacterial small subunit ribosomal RNA", at positions 30 to 523 of the family's 1533-position model. The record is from RNAcentral.
AUUGAACGCUGGCGGAAUGCUUUACACAUGCAAGUCGAACGGCAGCACGGACUUCGGUCUGGUGGCGAGUGGCGAACGGGUGAGUAAUAUAUCGGAACGUGCCCAGUUGUGGGGGGUAACGUAGCGAAAAUUACGCUAAUACCGCAUACGAUCUACGGAUGAAAGCGGGGGAUCGCAAGACCUCGCGCGAUUGGAGCGGCCGAUAUCAGAUUAGGUAGUUGGUGAGGUAAAGGCUCACCAAGCCGACGAUCUGUAGCUGGUCUGAGAGGACGACCAGCCACACUGGGACUGAGACACGGCCCAGACUCCUACGGGAGGCAGCAGUGGGGAAUUUUGGACAAUGGACGCAAGUCUGAUCCAGCCAUUCCGCGUGCAGGACGAAGGCCUUCGGGUUGUAAACUGCUUUUGUACAGAACGAAAAGGUCUCUACUAAUACUAGGGGCUCAUGACGGUACUGUAAGAAUAAGCACCGGCUAACUACGUGCCAGCAGCCGCGGUAA